GACGAACGCUGGCGGCGUGCUUAACACAUGCAAGUCGAGCGAUGAAGCUCCUUCGGGAGUGAAUUAGCGGCGGACGGGUGAGUAACACGUGGGUAACCUGCCUCAUAGAGGGGAAUAGCCUUUCGAAAGGAAGAUUAAUACCGCAUAAGAUUGUAGUACCGCAUGGUACAGCAAUUAAAGGAGUAAUCCGCUAUGAGAUGGACCCGCGUCGCAUUAGCUAGUUGGUGAGGUAACGGCUCACCAAGGCGACGAUGCGUAGCCGACCUGAGAGGGUGAUCGGCCACAUUGGGACUGAGACACGGCCCAGACUCCUACGGGAGGCAGCAGUGGGGAAUAUUGCACAAUGGGGGAAACCCUGAUGCAGCAACGCCGCGUGAGUGAUGACGGCCUUCGGGUUGUAAAACUCUGUCUUUGGGGACGAUAAUGACGGUACCCAAGGAGGAAGCCACGGCUAACUACGUGCCAGCAGCCGCGGUAAUACGUAGGUGGCAAGCGUUGUCCGGAUUUACUGGGCGUAAAGGGAGCGUAGGUGGAUAUUUAAGUGGGAUGUGAAAUACUCGGGCUUAACCUGGGUGCUGCAUUCCAAACUGGAUAUCUAGAGUGCAGGAGAGGAAAGGAGAAUUCCUAGUGUAGCGGUGAAAUGCGUAGAGAUUAGGAAGAAUACCAGUGGCGAAGGCGCCUUUCUGGACUGUAACUGACACUGAGGCUCGAAAGCGUGGGGAGCAAACAGGAUUAGAUACCCUGGUAGUCCACGCCGUAAACGAUGAAUACUAGGUGUAGGGGUUGUCAUGACCUCUGUGCCGCCGCUAACGCAUUAAGUAUUCCGCCUGGGGAGUACGGUCGCAAGAUUAAAACUCAAAGGAAUUGACGGGGGCCCGCACAAGCAGCGGAGCAUGUGGUUUAAUUCGAAGCAACGCGAAGAACCUUACCUAGACUUGACAUCUCCUGAAUUACUCUGUAAUGGAGGAAGCCACUUCGGUGGCAGGAAGACAGGUGGUGCAUGGUUGUCGUCAGCUCGUGUCGUGAGAUGUUGGGUUAAGUCCCGCAACGAGCGCAACCCUUAUUGUUAGUUGCUACCAUUUAGUUGAGCACUCUAGCGAGACUGCCCGGGUUAACCGGGAGGAAGGUGGGGAUGACGUCAAAUCAUCAUGCCCCUUAUGUCUAGGGCUACACACGUGCUACAAUGGUCGGUACAAUGAGAUGCAACCUCGCGAGAGUGAGCAAAACUAUAAAACCGAUCUCAGUUCGGAUUGUAGGCUGAAACUCGCCUACAUGAAGCUGGAGUUGCUAGUAAUCGCGAAUCAGAAUGUCGCGGUGAAUACGUUCCCGGGCCUUGUACACACCGCCCGUCACACCAUGAGAGUUGGCAAUACCCAAAGUUCGUGAGCUAACGCGUAAGCGAGGCAGCGACCUAAGGUAGGGUCAGCGAUUGGGGUGAAGUCGUAACAAGGUAGCCGUAGGAGAACCUGCGGCUGGAUCACCUCCUUUCUAUGGAGAAAUCUAGCAAACAUGACGUUUGACUAGUACAAAGAUGCAAAGCAUCUAUAAAAAUUACAACUUGCUCAAAGGUUACUUAAUGAGUAUUGAUUCUGUUCAAUUUUGAAAGACUAGGUCUUUCAAGAGAUAUGGGGGUAUAGCUCAGUUGGGAGAGCACCUGCCUUGCACGCAGGGGGUCAAGAGUUCGAAUCUCUUUAUCUCCACCAUUAAGAUUUAAUUCUAAGUUAAAUCUUUAAAUGUUCUUUGAAAAUUGCACAUAGAUUAAUGUAUAUAAUACAACAAAGCCAAGAAUAAAUAUUCUUUGUGAAUGAUUAAUAUAAGCAGUUUUGUAUAUCAAAACUUAAAAAGGUCAAGCUACAAAGGGCGCAUGGUGAAUGCCUUGGCAUCAGGAGCCGAUGAAGGACGUGAUAAGCUGCGAUAAGCUUCGGGUAGGCGCACAUAGCCAGAGAUCCGGAGAUUUCCGAAUGGGGAAACCCGCAUGAGAAACCUCAUGCAUCGUAAAGUGAAUACAUAGCUUUAUGAAGGAACACCUAGGGAACUGAAACAUCUAAGUACCUAGAGGAAGAGAAAGAAAAAUCGAUUUUCUUAGUAGCGGCGAGCGAAAAGGAAAGAGCCCAAACCAGAGAUUUAUCUCUGGGGUUGCGGACAGAACAUAACGUGAAAUUAUGAUUAACCGAACACAACUGGAAAGUUGGACCGUAGGAGGUAAUAGUCCUGUAAGUAAAAGUCAUAAUGAUCAGUUCUGCACCAGAGUACCACGAGACACGUGAAACCUUGUGGGAAGCAGGGAGGACCACCUCCCAAGGCUAAAUACUACCUGAUGACCGAUAGUGAAGC
Molecule: ribosomal RNA, 2334 nt
Filed under: uncultured Clostridium sp.
Lineage: Bacteria; Bacillati; Bacillota; Clostridia; Eubacteriales; Clostridiaceae
Description: partial contains 16S ribosomal RNA, 16S-23S ribosomal RNA intergenic spacer, and 23S ribosomal RNA
Rfam family: Bacterial small subunit ribosomal RNA (bases 1-1488)
Source: RNAcentral